Molecule: long non-coding RNA, 260 nt
Organism: Melopsittacus undulatus (budgerigar)
Lineage: Eukaryota; Metazoa; Chordata; Aves; Psittaciformes; Psittaculidae
Source: Ensembl
AGUUCUUACAAACUUUCCUUCUCUAGAGGUGAGUUCUAGUUAUCUACCCCAAAGAAAUAGAAGAGAGGAGAAAGAUGAGAGAAGAGCCUAUGGAUCAGCAACAGAAAAUGAGGAGGAGAAGGAAAGCCUUGUACAAACCCUGAGCAUAACUGGUCAGGUUUAUUGCUCUGAGAGACAUUACCUUUUGCUGACUCCAGCAUAUGGCCAACAGGAGCUAUGUCAGCAGCUGAGAACAAAGCAAGUCCUGGAGCAAACUGGAA